UGAGGAAUAUUGGUCAAUGGGCGGGAGCCUGAACCAGCCAAGCCGCGUGAGGGAAGAAGGCCCUAUGGGUCGUAAACCUCUUUUGUCAGGGAACAAAAGCGAGUAUGUAUACUGGUCUGAGUGUACCUGAAGAAAAAGCAUCGGCUAACUCCGUGCCAGCAGCCGCGGUAAUACGGAGGAUGCGAGCGUUAUCCGGAUUUAUUGGGUUUAAAGGGUGCGUAGGCGGCGGUGCAAGUCAGCGGUAAAAGCCCGGGGGCUCAACCCCGGCGAGCCGUUGAAACUGCAGUGCUAGAGAAGGCGAGAGGUACGCGGAAUGCGCAGUGUAGCGGUGAAAUGCUUAGAUAUUGCGCAGGACUCCGAUUGCGAAGGCAGCGUACUGGCGCCUGACUGACGCUGAGGCACGAAAGCGUGGGGAUCGAACAGGAUUAGAUACC
RNAcentral lists this ribosomal RNA (434 nucleotides) under uncultured bacterium. RNAcentral describes it as "bacterial SSU rRNA". It matches the Rfam family "Bacterial small subunit ribosomal RNA", at positions 355 to 786 of the family's 1533-position model. The record is from RNAcentral.